RNAcentral lists this ribosomal RNA (466 nucleotides) under uncultured Gammaproteobacteria bacterium. Its description in RNAcentral is "bacterial SSU rRNA". It matches the Rfam family "Bacterial small subunit ribosomal RNA", at positions 1 to 472 of the family's 1533-position model. The record is from RNAcentral. Lineage: Bacteria; Pseudomonadati; Pseudomonadota; Gammaproteobacteria.
UAGAGUUUGAUUCUGGCUCAGGACGAACGCUGGCGGCGUGCCUAAUACAUGCAAGUAGAACGCUGAAGGAGGAGCUUGCUUCUCUGGAUGAGUUGCGAACGGGUGAGUAACGCGUAGGUAACCUGCCUGGUAGUGGGGGAUAACUAUUGGAAACGGACGCUAAUACCGCAUACGUCCUACGGGAGAAAGCAGGGGACCUUCGGGCCUUGCGCUAUCAGAUGAGCCUAGGUCGGAUUAGCUAGUUGGUGGGGUAAUGGCUCACCAAGGCGACGAUCCGUAACUGGUCUGAGAGGAUGAUCAGUCACACUGGAACUGAGACACGGUCCAGACUCCUACGGGAGGCAGCAGUGGGGAAUAUUGGACAAUGGGCGAAAGCCUGAUCCAGCCAUGCCGCGUGUGUGAAGAAGGUCUUCGGAUUGUAAAGCACUUUAAGUUGGGAGGAAGGGCAGUAAAUUAAUACUUUGCU